This 253-nucleotide ribosomal RNA is filed under the name uncultured bacterium. RNAcentral describes it as "partial 16S ribosomal RNA". It matches the Rfam family "Bacterial small subunit ribosomal RNA", at positions 524 to 776 of the family's 1533-position model. The record is from RNAcentral.
CACGCAGGAACCGAGCGUUAUCCGAAUUUACUGGGCGUAAAGCGCGCGUAGGUGGCUCGAUAAGUUGGGUGUGAAAGCUCCUGGCUCAACUGGGCGAGGCCGCUCAAUACUGUCGGGCUUGAGUACGGUAGAGGGGGGUGGAAUUCCCGGUGUAGUGGUGAAAUGCGUAGAUAUCGGGAGGAACACCAGUGGCGAAGGCGGCCUCCUGGACCGUUUCUGACACUGAGACGCGAAAGCCAGGGGAGCGAACGGG